GCCGUGCCAGCGCCUGAAGAUUCACACUAGCAGUACUUUCUUUUUUUUCUUCCCUUUUUCUUUUUCUGUUUUCUCGAGGGAUACGUAGUAAUAAUAGAAGGAUUAAACGACUAACCAAGUUGCAAUACUUUUGUAUUUCAAUCGUUAGCUAAUUAGCUUAUACUAUACGUUAAUCGUGAGCUGAACUAGUACAUCAUCGUUGAAGUAAUCGACUAGUAAUUAGUACUCCAAUAAUAACAGAAGUAGUAACCAUUAUUGGACUACUAGUGCAGUCUGCCAUUACGUUUAUAGAAGGACAACGCAAAUGAACGGAAAUCUUUGUACUUUAAAAAAAUUAUGAAUAAAAAAUUUAUAUACAUAUUUUUAAGUCAAGGCA
Molecule: long non-coding RNA, 376 nt
Filed under: Oryza brachyantha (malo sina)
Lineage: Eukaryota; Viridiplantae; Streptophyta; Magnoliopsida; Poales; Poaceae
Description: long non-coding RNA (OBRA_LNC001616)
Source: RNAcentral